RNAcentral lists this long non-coding RNA (1740 nucleotides) under Marmota monax (woodchuck). Lineage: Eukaryota; Metazoa; Chordata; Mammalia; Rodentia; Sciuridae. The record is from RNAcentral.
UACUCUGAUGGUUAUGGGCUUUGUGGCAAGAAGGGUAGCAUAAGUAGCAUACAAUUAUUUUUCCAACAAGCAAUAAUGUUCCCUCACCCCUUUCUAUAACUGUGAAAAAAUCCACAAGAAGUCUCAUGUCUCUUAAUCCAAUGCCAGAAGCCCCAACCAAAAUCAUUUAGGCUGACAUGGACAGUAAGCUCAGUAGGUAUCAAUCAAUGUGUCUAUUGUCCCAAGGGCAUGCAACUGUUUUGUUGUUCAUUUGGCUUGAUUAAAUUACUCAGUACUCCAGUCAGUCCAGUCCUAUAAUGUACCCCUCCUGCACAAAUUACAUAGGGAUCAUUAUAACUGACCCAGAUGAGGGAAUGGAAGCCCUCCAAUGGCCCAGUAGCCCCACAAAUUCUUGUAUUUGCUUACUAUGUUGGGAGGUAGACAUAUUUGAGCUUCAUCUAUAACAACUUGAGUUAUAACCUCUGUUUUACUUGACCAUACAACACCAAUAAGCCAGGCCCCUGCACUUUUUCAGGAUUUACAAAUAUUAUCUUCUCCUUUGCAAGUCAGUCAAAAGCAUGGGGGUAGCCUUGGUGUGCACUGAAAGAAAAUCAGAUAUGAUCAUUAUGUAAAUAUUUUUACCAGUGGAGGUUGGGACCAGGUUUAUUACCAUAUUAUGAAACAAGGUGGGGAUAUCCUUGAGGUAAUAUGGUGAAAGUCCAUAGUCUGCUUUCCCACAUGAAGGCAAAUGGGUCUCAACCCUCAGAAGUUGUAUCUGUGCUAAAAGGGGCAUUAUCAAAGUCUAGCACAGAGACUUUGCUGUGCUCUUCUCAUGUGGCUAUGAUGAGAAUGACUGCAUAGAGGUAUCACCCUAUUUAAUUUCCUAUAGUCUACUGCCAUGUGCUGAGUUCCAUCCUGCUUUCUUACCAGCCAGCUAUGUAAGGGUUAAAAUUACUGUGGAGCUGGGUGUGGUGGCAUACACCUAUAAUCCCAGCACCUCUGUUCGGGAGGCUGAGAUAGGAGGAUGUCGAGUUCAAAGCCAGCCUCAGCAACAGCAAGGCACUAAGCAACUCAGUAGACCCUGUCUCUAAAUAAAGUACAAAAAGCGGGUUGAGGAUGUGGCUCGGUGGUUGAGUGUCCCUGAGUGCAAUCCCUGGUACCCCCCUCACACCAAAAAAAAAAAAAAAAAAAAGAACUGUGGAUUGUGUGAAUUAUAUUUACUUUAGCUAAUGCAUUUAUGGUCUCUGUUAUCUCUUACUGGCCUCCAGGGAGCUGAUCUUGUUUGGUAGCAAAAAUUCAGCAGGAGGCCAGCAAAACAAUAGGGAGAUGUUUAGCACUCUCUCUUAAUAUUUCUUAGUAUUUACUUUACAGAUAACACAUUCUUAACAGCUGACACAUCUCCUGGCAAACAGGGCUCCCCUAUUGUGGUUUGUAAACAUUUACCCCAUAAGGUAUCAACACCUAUACUGUAUACAGGAUGGAAGCUAUGAACUCCAGGUAUGGAGUGGGUAGCAGGUGUUCAAGUUGCAACAUCAGUGUUACAACUCUGACUCUCACUGUUUCCCCAUAUCCAUCAAUAGCAGUUAAUCUGUUUGAAAAUUUGUCAGGAUUACCAUUUAUUAAUGUACCUUCAGUUCUCAUGUCCAGUGCUGUUAUCUUCUGCAUAUUUUUUGAAGAUUAAUGUGUUACUGAUUCUACGUAUGGUCACUGAUCCAGAGACAUAGCUCAGACCCCUGAAUUUUGACCUCCUCCUAGUUGUCC